AGAGUGAACGCUGGCGGUAGGCCUAACACAUGCAAGUCGAACGGCAGCACAGUAGGAGCUUGCUCUUACGGGUGGCGAGUGGCGGACGGGUGAGGAAUACAUCGGAAUCUACCUUUUGGUGGGGGAUAACGUAGGGAAACUUACGCUAAUACCGCAUACGCCCUUCGGGGGAAAGCCGGGGACCAGCAAUGGCCUGGCGCUGAUAGAUGGACGCGAUGUCGAUUAGCUAGUUGGUGAGUAUGCUCACCGAAGCGA
This 255-nucleotide ribosomal RNA is filed under the name uncultured soil bacterium. RNAcentral describes it as "partial 16S ribosomal RNA". It matches the Rfam family "Bacterial small subunit ribosomal RNA", at positions 26 to 276 of the family's 1533-position model. The record is from RNAcentral.